RNAcentral lists this ribosomal RNA (253 nucleotides) under uncultured bacterium. RNAcentral's name for it is "partial 16S ribosomal RNA". It matches the Rfam family "Bacterial small subunit ribosomal RNA", at positions 524 to 776 of the family's 1533-position model. The record is from RNAcentral.
UACGUAGGGUGCGAGCGUUGUCCGGAAUUAUUGGGCGUAAAGGGCUCGUAGGCGGUUUGUCGCGUCGGGAGUGAAAACUCAGGGCUUAACCCUGAGCCUGCUUCCGAUACGGGCAGACUAGAGGUAUGCAGGGGAGAACGGAAUUCCUGGUGUAGCGGUGAAAUGCGCAGAUAUCAGGAGGAACACCGGUGGCGAAGGCGGAUCUCUGGGCCUGUCCUGACGCUGAGGCGCGAAAGCUAGGGGAGCGAACAGG